RNAcentral lists this ribosomal RNA (508 nucleotides) under uncultured Coniochaeta. Its description in RNAcentral is "eukaryotic LSU rRNA". The stretch from base 138 to 291 matches the Rfam family "5.8S ribosomal RNA". The record is from RNAcentral. Lineage: Eukaryota; Fungi; Ascomycota; Sordariomycetes; Coniochaetales.
CGUCCAGUUGCUUCGGCGGCGCGGCACCCCUUAACGGGGGCGCCGCAGCCCUGCCUCUCCGGAGGUUCGGGGCGCCCGCCGGAGGUACGAAACUCUGUAUUAUAGUGGCAUCUCUGAGUAUAAAACAAAUAAGUUAAAACUUUCAACAACGGAUCUCUUGGUUCUGGCAUCGAUGAAGAACGCAGCGAAAUGCGAUAAGUAAUGUGAAUUGCAGAAUUCAGUGAAUCAUCGAAUCUUUGAACGCACAUUGCGCCCGGUAGUACUCUACCGGGCAUGCCUGUUCGAGCGUCAUUUCAACCCUCAAGCCCUGCUUGGUGUUGGGGCCCUACGGCUGCCGUAGGCCCUGAAAGGAAGUGGCGGGCUCGCUACAACUCCGAGCGUAGUAAUUCAUUAUCUCGCUAGGGAGGUUGCGGCGUGCUCCUGCCGUUAAAGACCCAUCUUUAACCAAGGUUGACCUCGGAUCAGGUAGGAAUACCCGCUGAACUUAAGCAUAUCAAUAAGCGGAGGA